CCUACGGCGAGCAGCAGUGGGGAAUAUUGGACAAUGGGCGAAAGCCUGAUCCAGCCAUGCCGCGUGUGUGAAGAAGGCCUUCGGGUUGUAAAGCACUUUCAGUGGGGAAGAAAGCCUUGGGGCUAAUACCCUCGAGGAAGGACAUCACCCACAGAAGAAGCACCGGCUAACUCCGUGCCAGCAGCCGCGGUAAUACGGAGGGUGCGAGCGUUAAUCGGAAUUACUGGGCGUAAAGCGCGCGUAGGCGGUCUGAUAAGCCGGUUGUGAAAGCCCCGGGCUCAACCUGGGAACGGCAUCCGGAACUGUCAGGCUAGAGUGCAGGAGAGGAAGGUAGAAUUCCCGGUGUAGCGGUGAAAUGCGUAGAGAUCGGGAGGAAUACCAGUGGCGAAGGCGGCCUUCUGGACUGACACUGACGCUGAGGUGCGAAAGCGUGGGUAGCAAACAGGAUUAGAUACCCCGGUAGUC
This 465-nucleotide ribosomal RNA is filed under the name Vreelandella stevensii. RNAcentral's name for it is "partial 16S ribosomal RNA". It matches the Rfam family "Bacterial small subunit ribosomal RNA", at positions 338 to 795 of the family's 1533-position model. The record is from RNAcentral. Lineage: Bacteria; Pseudomonadati; Pseudomonadota; Gammaproteobacteria; Oceanospirillales; Halomonadaceae.